UGAAACCGUCUAGAGGCAAACGGAGAGGACCGUAUGGUCCGCCCGUCGGAUUCAGUCCGCCGGCGCGGCGACGGCGGCGGCCGCGCAUCCCUCGUGGGAGCGCGCCGUCGUCCGGUUCGUCGCGCGGCGGCCGUACUUUCGGCGGGCGGAGCGCCACGACCGGUUCGUCGGCGGCGAGAAACUCCCGGGCAAGGUGACCUUCGCCUCGGCGCAGGAGCAUACAGGCCCGGCGAGCGUAGGCCCGUCGGCGGACCGAGGAAGACCGUCGCGGAGCGGCGUCGACCGCCCGUCGUGUGGUUGCGUUCGACUCGGGGGGACUGGUUCCAGUGCCCUCGGACCGCGCGAUCGCAGCGGCGGGACGGCCCGGCGUCGCGCCUGGGGUCGGUGGCGAAACGGCCGGCAACCUGUCCGACCCGUCUUGAAACACGGACCAAGGAGUCUAACAUGUGCGCGAGUCGUUGGGCGCUACGAAACCCGAAGGCGCAAUGAAAGUGAAGGCCCGGUCUCGUGCCGGCCUGGGUGGGAUCCGGGCGCCCGCGGGCGUCCGGCGCACCACCGGCCCGUCUCGUUCGUCAUGUCGAGGAGGCGGAGCAAGAGCGUACACGUUGGGACCC
Molecule: ribosomal RNA, 614 nt
Filed under: Dendrobaena jastrebensis
Lineage: Eukaryota; Metazoa; Annelida; Clitellata; Crassiclitellata; Lumbricidae
Description: eukaryotic LSU rRNA
Rfam family: Eukaryotic large subunit ribosomal RNA (bases 430-614)
Source: RNAcentral